AGUUUGCACAGGGUGUGCAGGCAGCAGCCAGCCCCUCACAUCUCAGCCAGGUCCUCCUGCUUGGCCACAAGUACUGAACAUCUCCUCUUCACCUGAUCCACGAGCUCCAGGUUUAAACACAAGGAAGCCCCAUGUCUACUUGAGAUACCUGCUUCAGCUUCACUGCUGCUGCACUUCAAAGCUCCCCUGGGAUGCCUCAGGCUCCAGCUGCUUGCAUCAGCAGGUAUAGCUUUAUCAGCUCAAAGGAGACCAGAGCCAGGUUGGCAUCAAGCAGGGCUGCAGCUGGAGACACCCUGCUACCACACAGCUACAGUUCUGUGUAAGGUCAGCCCUUUGCCACCCAUGCAGAGCACAGGGUGGCUGUUCCCACCUCUGCCUGGGACCUCACCUGACUUUUAGAAGCAGAUCUUUUCCCCUUUGUAUAACUUGCAUCUCUUCUUACCUUCUGCUUUCACUCCUGGCAACUUUCUGAAGAGCCUAGAGCAUACCUCCAGGAGAGCACCAGCUAACCCCAGAGUCACAUUAAGGACCCUGCAGCAAGUUAC
Rhea pennata is the source of this 545-nucleotide long non-coding RNA. RefSeq lists it as uncharacterized. Lineage: Eukaryota; Metazoa; Chordata; Aves; Rheiformes; Rheidae. The transcript has 2 exons. The record is from RefSeq and is a predicted model, not a curated record.